UGAACCUCACAUACCAGCACUAAUGCAUCGGAUUCCAUCAGAACUCCGCAGUUAAACGUGCUUGGACGAGAUUAGGAUGGGUAACCUCAUGGAAAGUCCUCGUGUUGCACCCC
This 113-nucleotide ribosomal RNA is filed under the name Corchorus capsularis. Lineage: Eukaryota; Viridiplantae; Streptophyta; Magnoliopsida; Malvales; Malvaceae. The record is from RNAcentral.